AGUUUGAUCCUGGCUCAGGAUGAACGCUGGCGGUAUGCUUAACACAUGCAAGUCGAACGAAAGCUUUAUGCUUUAGUGGCGAACGGGUGCGUAAUACGUGAGAAUCUGCCCUUAGGAGGAGAAUAACUUCUGGAAACGGUUGCUAAGUCUCCAUAUGCCGAGAGGUAAAAUAGUUUACACUGCCUAGGGAUGAGCUCACGCCUGAUUAGCUUGUUGGUAAGGUAAUGGCUUACCAAGGCCACGAUCAGUAGCUGGUUUGAGAGAACGAUCAGCCACACUGGGACUGAGACACGGCCCAGACUCCUCCGGGAGGCAGCAGUGAGGAAUUUUCCGCAAUGGGCGAAAGCCUGACGGAGCAAUACCGCGUGAGGGAUGAAGGAUUUUGGUCUGUAAACCUCUUUUCUCAAGAAAGAAGUUCUGACGGUACUUGAGGAAUAAGCAUCGGCUAACUCCGUGCCAGCAGCCGCGGUAAUACGGGGGAUGCAAGCGUUAUCCGGAUUUAUUGGGCGUAAAGCGCCUGUAGGUUGUUUAAUAAGUCUGUUGUUAAAGACUAGGGCUUAACCCUAGGAAAGCAAUGGAAACUACUAGACUUGAGUAUGAUAGGGGUAGAGGGAAUUUCUAGUGUAGCGGUGAAAUGCGUAGAUAUUAGAAAGAACACCGGUGGCGAAGGCGCUCUACUGGAUCAUUACUGACACUCAGAGGCGAAAGCUAGGGUAGCAAAAGGGAUUAGAUACCCCUGUAGUCCUAGCCGUAAACGAUGGAUACUACAUGUUGCGUUUUUAAUGCAGUAUGGUAGCUAACGCGUUAAGUAUCCCGCCUGGGGAGUACGGUCGCAAGGCUGAAACUCAAAGGAAUUGACGGGGGCCCGCACAAGCGGUGGAGCAUGUGGUUUAAUUCGAUGCAACGCGAAGAACCUUACCAAGGCUUGACAUACUACAGAUUUCUUUGAAAGAGGAAAGUGCCUUCGGGAAUGUAGAUACAGGUGGUGCAUGGCUGUCGUCAGCUCGUG
Molecule: ribosomal RNA, 1009 nt
Filed under: uncultured bacterium
Lineage: Bacteria
Description: bacterial SSU rRNA
Rfam family: Bacterial small subunit ribosomal RNA
Source: RNAcentral